CUGGACGACACGGGGUGCCCCGCCGGGGCUGAGAUCACACCCGCCGAACCUGAACGAGUUCGCACUCGCGGAGGGAUGUCAUGGAUGAGCGUC
This 93-nucleotide non-coding RNA is filed under the name Brachybacterium sp. RNAcentral describes it as "TPP sequence". It matches the Rfam family "TPP riboswitch aptamer (THI element)". From Rfam's summary of the family: Vitamin B(1) in its active form thiamin pyrophosphate (TPP) is an essential coenzyme that is synthesised by coupling of pyrimidine and thiazole moieties in bacteria. The previously detected thiamin-regulatory element, thi box was extended, resulting in a new, highly conserved RNA secondary structure, the THI element, which is widely distributed in eubacteria and also occurs in some archaea. The record is from RNAcentral. Lineage: Bacteria; Bacillati; Actinomycetota; Actinomycetes; Micrococcales; Dermabacteraceae.